RNAcentral lists this transfer RNA (61 nucleotides) under Cyphonia clavata. RNAcentral's name for it is "tRNA-Gly". The record is from RNAcentral. Lineage: Eukaryota; Metazoa; Arthropoda; Insecta; Hemiptera; Membracidae.
AUUUAUUUAGUAUAUAUAGUAUAAUUAGCUUCCAACUAAAAGGAUCAAAAAGAAAUAAAUA